RNAcentral lists this ribosomal RNA (467 nucleotides) under uncultured bacterium. RNAcentral describes it as "bacterial SSU rRNA". It matches the Rfam family "Bacterial small subunit ribosomal RNA", at positions 329 to 793 of the family's 1533-position model. The record is from RNAcentral.
UUCCAGACUCCUACGGGAGGCAGCAGUGAGGAAUAUUGGUCAAUGGGCGCGAGCCUGAACCAGCCAAGUCGCGUGAGGGAGGACGGCCCUACGGGUUGUAAACCUCUUUUGCCGGGGAGCAACGGGCGUCACGUGUGGCGCCACUGAGAGUACCCGGAGAAAAAGCAUCGGCUAACUCCGUGCCAGCAGCCGCGGUAAUACGGAGGAUGCGAGCGUUAUCCGGAUUUAUUGGGUUUAAAGGGUGCGUAGGCGGGCCUUUAAGUCAGCGGUAAAAAUUCGGGGCUCAACCCCGUCCGGCCGUUGAAACUGGGGGCCUUGAGUGGGCGAGAAGAAGGCGGAAUGCGUGGUGUAGCGGUGAAAUGCAUAGAUAUCACGCAGAACCCCGAUUGCGAAGGCAGCAUACCGGUGCACAACUGACGCUCAGGCACGAAAGCGUGGGUAUCGAACAGGAUUAGAUACCCGUGUAC